GAAUCUGCCUUCAGGACUGGGACAACCACUGGAAACGGUGGCUAAUACCAGAUAUGCAGUGAGUGAAAAGGUUUAUUCCGCCUGAAGAUGAGCUCGCGUCAGAUUAGUUAGUUGGUGAGGUAACGGCUUACCAAGGCAUCGAUCUGUAGCUGGUCUGAGAGGAUGACCAGCCACACUGGGACUGAGAGACGGCCCAGACUCCUACGGGAGGCAGCAGUGAGGAAUUUUCCGCAAUGGGCGCAAGCCUGACGGAGUAAUACCGCGUGCGGGAGGAAGGUCUAUUGACUGUAAACCGCUUUUAUUAAGAAAGAAUUCUGACGGUACUUAAUGAAUAAGCCUCGGCUAACUCCGUGCCAGCAGCCGCGGUAAUACGGAGGAGGCAAGCGUUAUCCGGAAUUAUUGGGCGUAAAGCGUCCGCAGGUGGCGAUUCAAGUCUGCGGUCAAAGCGUCUGGCUCAACCAGAUAAAGGCAGUGGAAACUACAUAGCUAGAGUAAGGUAGGGGUAGAGGGAAUUCCUGGUGUAGCGGUGAAAUGCGUAGAGAUCAGGAAGAACACCGGUGGCGAAAGCGCUCUGCUGGACCUUAACUGACACUGAGGGACGAAAGCUAGGGGAGCG
This 616-nucleotide ribosomal RNA is filed under the name uncultured cyanobacterium. RNAcentral's name for it is "bacterial SSU rRNA". It matches the Rfam family "Bacterial small subunit ribosomal RNA", at positions 122 to 770 of the family's 1533-position model. The record is from RNAcentral. Lineage: Bacteria; Bacillati; Cyanobacteriota.